Molecule: ribosomal RNA, 433 nt
Filed under: uncultured bacterium
Lineage: Bacteria
Description: partial 16S ribosomal RNA
Rfam family: Bacterial small subunit ribosomal RNA
Source: RNAcentral
AACGAACGCUGGCGGCAUGCCUAACACAUGCAAGUCGAACGAGACCUUCGGGUCUAGUGGCGCACGUGUGCGUAACGCGUGGGAACCUGCCCUUAGGUUCGGAAUAACUCCCCGAAAGGGGUGCUAAUACCGGAUAAUGUCUUCGGACCAAAGAUUUAUCGCCUUUGGAUGGGCCCGCGUUGGCUUAGCUAGUUGGUAGGGUAAAAGCCUACCAAGGCGACGAUCCAUAGCUGGUCUGAGAGGAUGAUCAGCCACACUGGGACUGAGACACGGCCCAGACUCGUACGGGAGGGAGCAGUGGGGAAUAUUGGACGAGGGGCGAAAGCCUGAUCAAGCAAUGCCGCGUGAGUGAUGAAGGCGUUAGGGUUGUAAAGCUCUUUUACCCGGGAUGAUAAUGACAGUACCGGGAGAAUAAGCUCCGGCUAACUACGUG